RNAcentral lists this ribosomal RNA (301 nucleotides) under uncultured bacterium. RNAcentral describes it as "partial 16S ribosomal RNA". It matches the Rfam family "Bacterial small subunit ribosomal RNA", at positions 509 to 807 of the family's 1533-position model. The record is from RNAcentral.
CAGUAGCCGCGGUAAAACGAAGGGUGCAAGCGUUACUCGGAAUUACUGGGCGUAAAGCGUGCGUAGGUGGUGGUUUAAGUCCGUUGUGAAAGCCCUGGGCUCAACCUGGGAAUUGCAGUGGAUACUGGGUCACUGGAGUGUGGUAGAGGAUAGUGGAAUUUCCGGUGUAGCAGUGAAAUGCGUAGAGAUCGGAAGGAACAUCUGUGGCGAAGGCGACUAUCUGGGCCAACACUGACACUGAGGCACGAAAGCGUGGGGAGCAAACAGGAUUAGAUACCCGCGUAGUCCCUGUCUCUUAUAC